UGACCUCAAAUCAGGUAGGACUACCCGCUGAACUUAAGCAUAUCAAUAACGGAGGA
RNAcentral lists this ribosomal RNA (56 nucleotides) under Trametes versicolor. Its description in RNAcentral is "partial 28S ribosomal RNA". Lineage: Eukaryota; Fungi; Basidiomycota; Agaricomycetes; Polyporales; Polyporaceae. The record is from RNAcentral.